UGAAUCAGUGUGUGUGUUAGUGGAAGCGUCUGGAAAGGCGCGCGAUACAGGGUGACAGCCCCGUACACAAAAAUGCACAUGCUGUGAGCUCGAUGAGUAGGGCGGGACACGUGGUAUCCUGUCUGAAUAUGGGGGGACCAUCCUCCAAGGCUAAAUACUCCUGACUGACCGAUAGUGAACCAGUACCGUGAGGGAAAGGCGAAAAGAACCCCGGCGAGGGGAGUGAAAAAGAACCUGAAACCGUGUACGUACAAGCAGUGGGAGCACGCUUAGGCGUGUGACUGCGUACCUUUUGUAUAAUGGGUCAGCGACUUAUAUUCUGUAGCAAGGUUAACCGAAUAGGGGAGCCGAAGGGAAACCGAGUCUUAACUGGGCGUUAAGUUGCAGGGUAUAGACCCGAAACCCGGUGAUCUAGCCAUGGGCAGGUUGAAGGUUGGGUAACACUAACUGGAGGACCGAACCGACUAAUGUUGAAAAAUUAGCGGAUGACUUGUGGCUGGGGGUGAAAGGCCAAUCAAACCGGGAGAUAGCUGGUUCUCCCCGAAAGCUA
Molecule: ribosomal RNA, 550 nt
Filed under: Escherichia coli
Lineage: Bacteria; Pseudomonadati; Pseudomonadota; Gammaproteobacteria; Enterobacterales; Enterobacteriaceae
Description: partial 23S ribosomal RNA
Rfam family: Bacterial large subunit ribosomal RNA
Source: RNAcentral